GCUGACAGUUGUCAGUGAUCAGCCAGUGUUAAAGGACUCAAGUAUCUGUGCGGCAUCUGAAGGACUGGAAAAGGUGACUCCGAAGAAGGACCGGUUAUGAUUGGAUGAUCAGGACUGUGUUGAGAAGAUGUCACCUGUCAAAGAGCAUGUGUUAAAUGAGGAGCAGAGUUUUUGUGCCCCUGCUGAAGGAGUUAAGGAGGUAUUCACAUGUUUCGGAUGAGCUGUUAUUUCAGUGCAACAGUGAAUGCUCUGAAGUCCAUCUCUGCAUGGCCUGUGAUAUACUUA
This is a long non-coding RNA of Sinocyclocheilus rhinocerous, 285 nucleotides long. RefSeq lists it as uncharacterized. NCBI's taxonomy places the organism in Eukaryota, Metazoa, Chordata, Actinopteri, Cypriniformes, Cyprinidae. The transcript has 3 exons. The record is from RefSeq and is a predicted model, not a curated record.